This 536-nucleotide ribosomal RNA is filed under the name uncultured Alphaproteobacteria bacterium. RNAcentral's name for it is "bacterial SSU rRNA". It matches the Rfam family "Bacterial small subunit ribosomal RNA", at positions 376 to 918 of the family's 1533-position model. The record is from RNAcentral. Lineage: Bacteria; Pseudomonadati; Pseudomonadota; Alphaproteobacteria.
CGCAGCCUGAUGCAGCAUGCCGCGUGAGUGAUGAAGGCCUUAGGGUUGUAAACGAUCUUUCAGAUGGGAAGAUAAUGACGGUACCUUCAGAAGAAGGUGCGGCCUAACUCCGUGCCAGCAGCCGCGGUGACUACGGAGGGAGCUAGCGUUGUUCGGAAUUACUGGGCGUAAGACGCUACGUAGCGGUACUAUUAGUCGGAUGUGAAAUCCCAGGGCUCAACCCUGGAACUGCCUUUGAACUGGUUGACUUGAGGUACGAGAGGGUGAGUGGAAACUCCAGUGGUAAGGUGAAAUUGCUAAAAUUUCAGAAGAAACCACCCGUGGGCAAAGGCGCUCAUUGGGUCCGUACUUGACCCUAAGUACCAAAGUGUGGGGUAGCAAACAGGAUUAGAAUACCCUGGUAGUCCACACCCGUAAACAUUGGGGCCUAUCUGUGGGUCUACAUUGUCCUUUGGUGACGCCCCUAACUAAUUAAUUAUUCCCCCUGGGGGAGGGAACGGAUCGUCGAUUAAAACUCCUCGAAGGAAUUGGGCGGG